This 496-nucleotide ribosomal RNA is filed under the name uncultured bacterium. Its description in RNAcentral is "bacterial SSU rRNA". It matches the Rfam family "Bacterial small subunit ribosomal RNA", at positions 28 to 506 of the family's 1533-position model. The record is from RNAcentral.
GAUGAACGCUAGCGGCAGGCUUAAUACAUGCAAGUUGAGGGGCAGCAUGAUAUACGCGAGUAUAUUGAUGGCGACCGGCGGACGGGUGAGUAAUAGGUAGGAGACCUACCUCAUACAGGGGGAUAGCAUAGAGAAAUCUGUGGUAAUACCCCAUGAGGUUAUAUGAAUAGAGGCAUAUAAUCAAAGCAUAAGCGAUUAUGCGGUAUGAGAGGGGCCUACUGACCAUUAGCUAGUUGGUGAGGUAAGGGCUCACCAAGGCGAAGAUGGUUAGGGGUUUUGAGAGAGAGACCCCCCACAUUGGAACUGAGAGACGGUCCAGACUCCUACGGGAGGCAGCAGUAGGGAAUAUUGGGCAAUGGGCGAAAGCCUGACCCAGCCAUGCCGCGUGAAGGAAGACAGCCUUAAUGGGUUGUAAACUUCUUUACUACGCGAAUAGAGGUUAGUACGAGAUACUAAUAGGAAGGUAGUGUAAGUAAAAAGCACCGGCUAACUCCGU